UGCUAUACAUGCAGUCGAGCGGACAGAAGGGAGCUUGCUCCCGGAUGUUAGCGGCGGACGGGUGAGUAACACGUGGGUAACCUGCCUGUAAGACUGGGAUAACUCCGGGAAACCGGAGCUAAUACCGGAUAGUUCCUUGAACCGCAUGGUUCAAGGAUGAAAGACGGUUUCGGCUGUCACUUACAGAUGGACCCGCGGCGCAUUAGCUAGUUGGUGAGGUAACGGCUCACCAAGGCGACGAUGCGUAGCCGACCUGAGAGGGUGAUCGGCCACACUGGGACUGAGACACGGCCCAGACUCCUACGGGAGGCAGCAGUAGGGAAUCUUCCGCAAUGGACGAAAGUCUGACGGAGCAACGCCGCGUGAGUGAUGAAGGUUUUCGGAUCGUAAAGCUCUGUUGUUAGGGAAGAACAAGUGCAAGAGUAACUGCUUGCACCUUGACGGUACCUAACCAGAAAGCCACGGCUAACUACGUGCCAGCAGCCGCGGUAAUACGUAGGUGGCAAGCGUUGUCCGGAAUUAUUGGGCGUAAAGGGCUCGCAGGCGGUUUCUUAAGUCUGAUGUGAAAGCCCCCGGCUCAACCGGGGAGGGUCAUUGGAAACUGGGAAACUUGAGUGCAGAAGAGGAGAGUGGAAUUCCACGUGUAGCGGUGAAAUGCGUAGAGAUGUGGAGGAACACCAGUGGCGAAGGCGACUCUCUGGUCUGUAACUGACGCUGAGGAGCGAAAGCGUGGGGAGCGAACAGGAUUAGAUACCCUGGUAGUCCACGCCGUAAACGAUGAGUGCUAAGUGUUAGGGGGUUUCCGCCCCUUAGUGCUGCAGCUAACGCAUUAAGCACUCCGCCUGGGGAGUACGGUCGCAAGACUGAAACUCAAAGGAAUUGACGGGGGCCCGCACAAGCGGUGGAGCAUGUGGUUUAAUUCGAAGCAACGCGAAGAACCUUACCAGGUCUUGACAUCCUCUGACAACCCUAGAGAUAGGGCUUUCCCUUCGGGGACAGAGUGACAGGUGGUGCAUGGUUGUCGUCAGCUCGUGUCGUGAGAUGUUGGGUUAAGUCCCGCAACGAGCGCAACCCUUGAUCUUAGUUGCCAGCAUUCAGUUGGGCACUCUAAGGUGACUGCCGGUGACAAACCGGAAGAA
This 1139-nucleotide ribosomal RNA is filed under the name Bacillus altitudinis. Its description in RNAcentral is "bacterial SSU rRNA". It matches the Rfam family "Bacterial small subunit ribosomal RNA", at positions 45 to 1171 of the family's 1533-position model. The record is from RNAcentral. Lineage: Bacteria; Bacillati; Bacillota; Bacilli; Caryophanales; Bacillaceae.